GAGAAGAAACAUAAAAACUGCCUCGGUGAGAGUAGAAAAAACGAUCAAACCACAAAAAAAAGCCUUUAAUCUUCUCCUUUGUGUAUCAGUCAUCCAAAUUCAAAACUCUGAUCGUCUUCUAGAAAAAACUCAAGCAAUGAUCGAUCUAGCCUGGUCAGGCUGCUGCAACAAAUGUCGAUCCUUUUCAAUAACCGCAACAGUAUCAGGAGGUACUUCUUCAACCCAGCAUUGAGAGUUCCCUAUUUUGAAACCCAUCCUUGCUAUUGUAUGAGCAACUAAAUUAGAUCCUCGAUCUGCAUGUUGAAAAGAAAUAUAAUCAAAAUUAAGAGCCAUUAUUCUAUUUUCUUUAACAUAAACCCCAAUCGCAGAUCUAUCCAAAACCCCUUUGCACCUUUACGAUUAUCGUUCUAGAAUCUCCUUCCACUACCACCUUCCGGAAUCCCAUAUCUCUAGCAAAAGUAAUGGCAUGCAAGCAUGCCAAGGCCUCAGCUGCGAAAGCAUCUGCGACAUGACUAUAGAGAACCACUCCACUCCCCAUAGCCAAUCCCAAAUUGUUCCUGAUGACAACACCAGAACUGCACUGCUUUAAACGUUGGCAAAAUGCCGCAUCAAAUUCACCUUCACCGCCCUUCUAUCUGGGUGUAGCCAUUUGGACGACAUCAGCCUCUAUUUAAUAGGUAAUUUCUCCUUUAUUACAAUCAUUUCCAACAAAAAGCUUUCAAUCUUGGUCUUUGUCUCAUUAAUUGUUUGUUGUUUCCCUUCCAUUACAUGUUUAUUGCGAGCACACCACAUCGACCACAUAGUAAUCGAAAUUCUACUGCAAGUUCCUGCUCUAUUUGUUUGGAAAAUGUAACAUACCCAGUCCCAAAAAUUAUUCAAAGUAGUCUUAGUAACCCAAUUCAAUCCCAACCGAUGCCACACUUCUUUUGCAGGACCACAUUCUAGAAUAGCAUGUAAAAUUGAUUCUGAACAGUGACCAUAUCUCGGACAAGUUGGAGCAGAGGCAAUUUUUUGAUCGUACAAAAUAUGGGAAGUGGGUAUAGAAUUAUGCAUCAUUCGCCAUAUAGUGAUUUUACUUUUGGUUGGGAUAUCCAAUAGCCGUAGUUUUCUGUAAGUUUCAGUAUUUUACUUUAAGCGACGAUUACUCACACAGGUAGAACGGGUGAGAUGCGACAUUGGGGAGGAAAAGUGUUGCACGGUUUGUGGCACCGCUUUAGAGGACAUUUUCCACGCCCUUGGGGAUUGUGUUGCGGCUAAAGGCGUUUGGUCGAAAAUUAUACCAAUUGACAAGCAACACAGUUCUUUUCAAGUGAUUUAAAGGAAUUUUUUGCGUCAAAUUUCAGAAACAAUUAUAGUUUUUCUUAGUUUUUUUUCAAAAAUUACCGAAAUUGACCAAUUAUUUAAUUAUUUAUCGGAAUGGUCCAUUUUUCGCGAAAUCGCGUCUACGUCAGCGCGAUGUCAGGGUACGCGUCAGGAAAUCGCGUCCACGUCACCGCGAGUUGCUGACGUGGACGCGAUUUCGGCCCGCGCGUGAAUAGUACCCCACGGUCAAAAAUUUGACUCGUUUCGGAUUUGAUUUUAGCUUCCAAAAUAACACCGAAUGGCCUGAAACUGAUACUAACUGAUGCGGAACCUCGAAUCUAGACACAAGAGAAACACAAAUUAGAAAUAAAAACGAGAAUAAAUAAAAUUAGUUAAAUAAUAAUAAAAUGAUAGAUUUGCCCUAUGGAACCCUUGGUUAACUUGCAACCAAAAACGCCAAUGAUUGAGCGGCUCUCUACGAAACUCCUAGAAGAAGAACCUCUAGAAACACCGAUGAACGGGAAAGAAAUUUGAAUAUUUGUAACUCCGAAAUAUCCUCAAAAGUAACAUACUCCAAACUAAAUAGCAAGAGAAGAACCACUCUACUCUAAAAAAUUUGCCUCACACAAAUUUGGAAGAAAACAAAUACUCUCUUUUUCAUGUAUCAUCUUUCCAAUGUGUAGAAAGCAAGCCUAUUUAUAGGUAAAUUACAAGAGUAAUUGAAUCCUAAUAAAACUCUUUAAAAUUAUCUAAGAAAAUAAAAUAAAUAAUAACCUAACCAAUAAAAUUACUUAACUCAUAAGUGAUGUAUCCCAACCAGUGAGAAUUAAGUAAAUAAUAAUAAUAAUAAGAUACAUAAAAGAUUAAUCCAUCAAUUUAUGGGCUUUCACUAUUCUAAGAUUAGUCCAGUGAAUUGCAUUCCUGUAUUUGUCAACGUCACGAAUAUGAUGACUUAAAUUUGUAGCAACAAAGUCUUGGACAAAAGUAUUCAUCUUUGAUUUUAAUUGACGUGCCUUGCUUCGAGUGAUUGGACCACAAGGAAAAAUAACCCCU
Molecule: long non-coding RNA, 2355 nt
Filed under: Gossypium barbadense (sea-island cotton)
Lineage: Eukaryota; Viridiplantae; Streptophyta; Magnoliopsida; Malvales; Malvaceae
Description: long non-coding RNA (GBAR_LNC017812)
Source: RNAcentral